Molecule: long non-coding RNA, 261 nt
Filed under: Arabidopsis thaliana (thale cress)
Lineage: Eukaryota; Viridiplantae; Streptophyta; Magnoliopsida; Brassicales; Brassicaceae
Description: long non-coding RNA (ATHA_LNC000478)
Source: RNAcentral
GCCUCUAUUCAACCCUCGGUGAACAUAGCCAUAACACCCAAAGGCUCACCUUCACCAAAUGAACCAACACCGACAACACCAUGAACAACAAAACUCCACCUGAAAGCAAACCAGAGAUGAAGCAAAAGGGACGAAACCCAAUGGACACAGAGAAUCCAUACCCAUGGCCGAAGAGGCUACCACCCUCAACUGCCCACCAAUGGAGGAGAGACGUCGACCACCAAACAAAACCCACAACGCCACUAACCACCACGAACAAUC